UGAAAAUGAAGGUUGCCUGGGUGAUUCCUCUGUGUUUCUAUUUGUUUCCCACAUUGCACCUGAGGGAGUCUUGCCCAUCCAUUGUACUAUGAGCUGCCUGUACUUAGAGAAAAACUUUGGGUGAUGACAACUGUCACAGAAUCAGUAACAUGCCACAUAGUCUAAGUCCUUCCCAAUUGUCUCAGAUGUUCGGAGGUGUCAGAAGUGAGGAGACUCUGGAAAUGAGCUGCUGUGAGACCUCGAUGGGGGCCAUUUGGGCGUUCCGUGAAAACUUGAAGUCCAUGAUGCCUCCCAGGGUCUUCCUCUGGAUG
RNAcentral lists this long non-coding RNA (311 nucleotides) under Monodelphis domestica (gray short-tailed opossum). Its description in RNAcentral is "lncRNA (ENSMODG00000048413.1)". The record is from RNAcentral. Lineage: Eukaryota; Metazoa; Chordata; Mammalia; Didelphimorphia; Didelphidae.